RNAcentral lists this ribosomal RNA (252 nucleotides) under uncultured bacterium. RNAcentral's name for it is "partial 16S ribosomal RNA". It matches the Rfam family "Bacterial small subunit ribosomal RNA", at positions 524 to 776 of the family's 1533-position model. The record is from RNAcentral.
UACGUAGGUCCCGAGCGUUGCCCGGAUUUAUUGGGCGUAAAGCGAGCGCAGGUGGUUUAUUAAGUCUGGUGUAAAAGGCAGUGGCUCAACCAUUGUAUGCAUUGGAAACUGGUAGACUUGAGUGCAGGAGAGGAGAGUGGAACUCCAUGUGUAGCGGUGAAAUGCGUAGAUAUAUGGAGGAACACCGGUGGCGAAAGCGGCUCUCUGGCCUGUAACUGACACUGAGGCUCGAAAGCGUGGGGAGCAAACAGG